GCUAUAACUGUCAUGCGUGAUAAAUUAGCAUGUCAAACAAAUAUUGUUCAAUAGGGAAGGAACAUUCCUCUUCUUUAUGAAACAUAUAUCUAGAAUAACAAAAAGUUCAUUUACAGAUUACAUAAAAAAAUGCAAGGACUCUUCUCCGCUCGUCGAGACUAUUCUCUUGAACAAAAUAUAAAUCUUGGAGGAGACAUACCUCACUGCUAGUACUAGAGCGGAUCUUGGAGGAGAGCUAACCUACUAGAUCGCGCAGAUGAAGGAACACUAGAUCUGGAUGCACGCUUUCUGCAAGUAAAGAAAUCGAUAGAUAGGGUGAGACGAUUAGGAACAUCAGCCGACAUGAAAGAGCAAACAAGCGCAUGUGUGUGUAAAGGUAGAAUGCAGAGGAGAGGAGACGACAUCACAAAUGGGGAGUGCUCAAACCCUAACCAUCGUCGUCGGUGGAGGACUAGUAGGGCGCGAUCGUGACCGCGUCGUGGACCGGGAACGACGAUUGAGUGGACGGUGGCGACGGAGGAAGCUGGCUUCCCUCGUGUAACCGCGCCGAUGCUGCUCGCGUCGCCUCCCCUUAAG
RNAcentral lists this long non-coding RNA (576 nucleotides) under Zea mays. RNAcentral's name for it is "long non-coding RNA (ZMAY_LNC005673)". The record is from RNAcentral. Lineage: Eukaryota; Viridiplantae; Streptophyta; Magnoliopsida; Poales; Poaceae.